Molecule: non-coding RNA, 167 nt
Filed under: Paraprevotella clara
Lineage: Bacteria; Pseudomonadati; Bacteroidota; Bacteroidia; Bacteroidales; Prevotellaceae
Source: RNAcentral
CGGGGGAAUGAUUAAAAGGGAAUCAGGUGAGAAUCCUGAACAGUCCCGUUGCUGUAUGUCUCAUAAAAAAGCGUAGUAAACACAUACUCUAUGCCACUGAAAGGCCGCGUGCCGAUUGGGAAGGCGUUUACUGCGGAGACGAGUCAGAAGACCUGCCAUGCAAUAUA